AGAGUUGAUCAUGGCUCAGGAUGAACGCUAGCUACAGGCCUAACACAUGCAAGUCGAGGGGCAGCACAAGGAGUAAUCUGAGGUGGCGACCGGCGCACGGGUGAGUAACACGUAUGCAACCUGGACUGUAAAGAGGGGAAUAACCCGGAGAAAUCCGGACUAAUACCGCAUAAUACUUAGAAUCCGCAUGGAUUUUAAGUUAAACAUUUAUGGCUUACAGAUGGGCAUGCGUAUGAUUAGCUGGUUGGAGAGGUAACGGCUCCCCAAGGCAACGAUCAUUAGGGGUUCUGAGAGGAAGGUCCCCCACACUGGUACUGAGACACGGACCAGACUCCUACGGGAGGCAGCAGUGAGGAAUAUUGGUCAAUGGACGCAAGUCUGAACCAAGCCAAGUCGCGUGAAGGAAGAAUGUCCUAUGGAUUGUAAACUUCUUUUGAAGGGGAAUAAAGUACGGUACGUGUACCGUUUUGUAUGUACCCUUCGAAUAAGGAUCGGCUAACUCCGUGCCAGCCGCGGC
RNAcentral lists this ribosomal RNA (517 nucleotides) under uncultured bacterium. Its description in RNAcentral is "bacterial SSU rRNA". It matches the Rfam family "Bacterial small subunit ribosomal RNA", at positions 8 to 518 of the family's 1533-position model. The record is from RNAcentral.